Molecule: small RNA, 679 nt
Filed under: Pongo abelii (Sumatran orangutan)
Lineage: Eukaryota; Metazoa; Chordata; Mammalia; Primates; Hominidae
Description: retained intron
Source: RNAcentral
CUUUCCGGUGGCAGCGUCUGGGGAAAGGGCGGUAGGCGCCAUGUCCGGCCGCGAAGGUGGCAAGAAGAAGCCACUGAAACAGCCCAAGAAGCAGGCCAAGGAGAUGGACGAGGUGAGGGCGGGCGCGGAGGCACGGGCGGGUGCGGGGGCGCUGGGAGACAGGCCUGAGUUGAACACGCUCUGCCUCUCCCCAGGAAGAUAAGGCUUUCAAGCAGAAACAAAAAGAGGAGCAGAAGAAACUCGAGGAGCUAAAAGCGAAGGCGGCGGGGAAAGGGCCCUUGGGUAAGUGGGGGCCAAAUGGAGCUCAAACCGGCCAAACGCUAUGAGCACCUGUUGGGAUGAGGGCGCGGGCAUGUCUUUUUUCUGCCUCCUGAACUGCGAGGUCUCGUUUUCCGACGUCCGCUGCAGCGGAUGGUCUCUAGCCAGUCUCGGAUUUGCAGCAGCAGUAAGGGCCGGGAGCCGGAAACGAGGUCUCCUGCCUCCCAGGCAGUCUGGGCUUCCAUUCCUUAGGAAGAGCUGCAGAAACGGAAACAUUGAAAUGUAUUUACCUCAGACGCAGAUUCAUAUUGUUUCUCAAAGUCUUUCGUCUUCUGCAAUCUUUUGCCCCAAAUUCGUAUUUCACUGCCUUCUAGUGUUUGAACCUUACUUGACUUAGAAGUUGUUUUGUUUUGUUUUUUUG